RNAcentral lists this ribosomal RNA (253 nucleotides) under uncultured bacterium. RNAcentral describes it as "partial 16S ribosomal RNA". It matches the Rfam family "Bacterial small subunit ribosomal RNA", at positions 524 to 776 of the family's 1533-position model. The record is from RNAcentral.
UACGGAGGGGGCUAGCGUUGUUCGGAAUUACUGGGCGUAAAGCGCACGUAGGCGGCUUUGCAAGUUAGAGGUGAAAGCCCGGGGCUCAACUCCGGAAUUGCCUUUAAAACUGCAUCGCUAGAAUUGUGGAGAGGUAAGUGGAAUUCCGAGUGUAGAGGUGAAAUUCGUAGAUAUUCGGAAGAACACCAGUGGCGAAGGCGACUUACUGGACACAUAUUGACGCUGAGGUGCGAAAGCGUGGGGAGUAAACAGG